This 253-nucleotide ribosomal RNA is filed under the name uncultured bacterium. RNAcentral's name for it is "partial 16S ribosomal RNA". It matches the Rfam family "Bacterial small subunit ribosomal RNA", at positions 524 to 776 of the family's 1533-position model. The record is from RNAcentral.
UACAGAGGCCUCGAGCGUUAGGCGGAAUCACUGGGCUUAAAGCGUGUGUAGGCGGACUUCUAAGUACCUUGUGAAAUCCCACGGCUCACCCGUGGAACUGCUUGGUAUACUGGUUGUCUUGAGCCUUCUAGGGGCGAGUGGAACAAAUGGUGGAGCGGUGAAAUGCGUAGAUAUCAUUUGGAACGCCAAUGGUGAAACCAACUCGCUGGGGAAGUGCUGACGCUGAGACACGAAAGCCAGGGGAGCGAACGGG